AAGAAAUCUAUGUCACGUAGCCUCGCUCUCCAAUUCAACCUUGAGUUCUUGCGCUCAUUCGUGCUCCUUGAAAUUUGAUGAAGAACCCUAGCUUGGAUUUUUGUUAGGUAAGAUGUUAAUCUCUAGGUUGUUCAUCACUAAUUAUGUGUCUCACAUCAUGUAUUUAGAGGUUACAAGGUAAAUCCCUAGCUUAUGAGGAAAAAUAAUCCAAUUGGAAAUCAAAAAGUAUCACAAUUAGCCCAAAUUCUUGCUCCCACUGAAACCAUGAGUUGUUUCUCUUCAAAUCAUGUGCUGCUGCGCAUGGUAUGCAAAAUGUCCAGCCUUCAAGAGCUCCUGCGGAUGGAAUGGUGCGCUGACGCGCAUGGCAAUUUCCUAAUCCUCUGUUGGUAAAAAUGCCAUAAUUUUUAAUUUGGGAGGAGUUACAGGACGUGCCACCUAUCAAAUCGAAGAUCUCGACGACCUCUACAAUAAAAUACAAGUUUCAACCCAAGAACAUGUAUCAAACUUAGCAUUAAAAGUCCUUUCAUCUUCCCUUCUUGUAUUUGAUUGCAUAUUUUACUCUGAAAAAUGUCUGAAUUGUCUUUCCAUGAUUCUUCUCAUCAAAUAACUCAAUAAGUGAUCAUUGGCUUGUUGUGGCUUUUGCUAAACCAUUAGUAACCCAUUUCAACUCAUUUUUCUUGUCUUCCCAUGUCAUGCUUACUUCAUGUGUGCCAAUUUACCCCACAAUUCUGCCUUGCGCACACGUAGGUCUCUUUUUGCUACAUUUUGAC
RNAcentral lists this long non-coding RNA (770 nucleotides) under Panax ginseng (ginseng). RNAcentral describes it as "long non-coding RNA (PGIN_LNC009998)". The record is from RNAcentral. Lineage: Eukaryota; Viridiplantae; Streptophyta; Magnoliopsida; Apiales; Araliaceae.